This 494-nucleotide ribosomal RNA is filed under the name uncultured bacterium. RNAcentral describes it as "partial 16S ribosomal RNA". It matches the Rfam family "Bacterial small subunit ribosomal RNA", at positions 28 to 507 of the family's 1533-position model. The record is from RNAcentral.
GACGAACGCUGGCGGCGUGCUUAACACAUGCAAGUCGAACGGUGAAGCGCCUUCCUUUUUGGUGGGUGUGGAUGAGUGGCGAACGGGUGAGUAACACGUGAGUAACCUGCCCCCUUCUUCUGGAUAACCGCAUGAAAGUGUGGCUAAUACGGGAUAUUCUGGGUCUGUCGCAUGAUGGGUCUGGGAAAGAUAUUGUUUCGGUGGGGGAUGGGCUCGCGGCCUAUCAGCUUGUUGGUGGGGUGAUGGCCUACCAAGGCGGUGACGGGUAGCCGGCCUGAGAGGGUGGACGGUCACACGGGGACUGAGACACGGACCAGACUCCUACGGGAGGCAGCAGUGGGGAAUAGUGCACAAUGGGCGCAAGCCUGAUGCAGCGACGCCGCGUGAGGGAUGGAGGCCUGCGGGUUGUGAACCUCUUUCGCCAGUGAAGCAGGCCUGCCUCGUUUGUGGGUGGGUUGACGGUAGCUGGAUAAGAAGCGCCGGCUAACUACGUG